This 477-nucleotide long non-coding RNA is filed under the name Bos mutus (wild yak). RNAcentral describes it as "lncRNA (ENSBMUG00000011172.1)". Lineage: Eukaryota; Metazoa; Chordata; Mammalia; Artiodactyla; Bovidae. The record is from RNAcentral.
CCUACAGCCCCUACAAUAAGCCCUACUGAUUUCCAGACCAGCUAAGGGGCUCAUCUUGACAUGGAGUAAAUGUUAUCAUCUCCCCUCUGCUCUUUGCAUUUGGGGGCCCUGAGAAGACAAAGCCAAGCUUACCAGGUGUUUUCACAGCUUCGUCCCAACCCCAGACUAGGCUCCUCCAAAUGUCUUUGCUGAACAUUUCCUCCAAUCUCUUUCCAAUGCCCCAGGGAAGGCAGGAACUACAACCUUCUCACUGUAGGGUCACCAGCAUUUUAGACCUGGCCUGACAGACUGUAAGCAGUUACAUCUAUUUGAUAAAUGAGUGAAUGAACAAAUUGUAUCUGGGACUCUUUCAGGUAAUCAUGGGAGGACGGAAGGUGGCAAGAGAUGAAGAAAAUGCCUAUGGUUUCCAGGAGUUCAGGUCCGCCCUGCAGGAGCGCCGGCUGCGCCUCCUCCUGGCCGGGAGGGCGGGGACCGGGA